RNAcentral lists this long non-coding RNA (1056 nucleotides) under Capsella grandiflora. Its description in RNAcentral is "long non-coding RNA (CGRA_LNC001492)". The record is from RNAcentral. Lineage: Eukaryota; Viridiplantae; Streptophyta; Magnoliopsida; Brassicales; Brassicaceae.
AAGAUACGAAGUACAUCAUCUAUGGAGUGUUGUUUUUCAUGUUUUUCAUGUUUUCAUCAAUAAUUGUCGUGUAUGUGAGAAAAAUGUAGAAGGUUAUCGAUCCCUAGAUUGCAUAUGCCUUCUAUUCCCUAUGUUUUCAAUAAUAUGUAAUUGUGUCGUGAUAUUUUACGUUCAACCAUUGAAGUUACUUUGUGCCUAGCUAUAUUACAUAGUAUCAACCAUUUUACCAAACUAUUUGAUUAAUAUUCACAUAAAAAUUCAAUCUAAAAGACGAGACUGAAAAAACAUGUUAAAUUCAACGAAUUUAAUUAUGUGUUAUAUGAGUUUUUGCAGGCUAUUUAAGUAAAAAUAUAUAAAAAAAGAUGCAUUGUUUAUAUUUUUUUAAUCAUAUCUCUGAUAAAUGAUACAAUAUUCACUAAAAAUAUCUGAUUGAAUCAAUAAACAACAGAUGAUGGUUUUGGUUGGUCAUAUAGCUUACGGUUUUGUGUGUAUCAGAUUUAUCCCUACUAUAGUAAAAGAGAAGUACACAAGGGAUUCGGGUCGGUUUUUUUAAAGAAUUCCGAGUUAAAUUUUCAAUCGGAUAGUUGCCAUUAUUAAACUAAGAAAAAAGACAGCUUAUUUUAAGGAAUUAUGGUAAAAAUUACCUAAAAUAGAUCUCAAUCUUUAGAAAAAUAUUUAAAUAUGUAAAUUAUACCACAAUCUUGUGAUUUUAUUGUUAAUCGAUUCAAAAUUUUAUUAAAUAUCAUAACUAUAAAAUCUUAAUAGUUACGAUUUAGUUAUUUAAAUAUAGAAUAUGAAUUUUUGAAAUAUGAAAAAUUUUAAAUAGAAAAUGCAUGAUUCAAAUAAUAAAAUUACAUAUUUGUUAAAAAUAGGUGGUGUAUAAAAAAUCUAAGAGUGAACAUUUAUUUACCUAAAUAUAUGAAGAUUUAAAAAAUAUAUAUAUAACCAAAAAAGAGAUUGCUAUAUAAAAAGUAAAAAAAAACGUAUUUACUAUUUAAAAAUUAAGUGUAUAUAUAGCAAAAUCUAACACCAUUUUAUAUAUGACAAAAAAAAAAC